Molecule: long non-coding RNA, 721 nt
Organism: Eriocheir sinensis (Chinese mitten crab)
Lineage: Eukaryota; Metazoa; Arthropoda; Malacostraca; Decapoda; Varunidae
Exons: 3
Source: RefSeq, a predicted model, not a curated record
CAGGGGUGAGGGGAGGUUGCCAGGUUAUCGUACUCAUGGAGGUUGCCAGAUUAUCGUACUCAGGGAGGUUGCCAGAUUAUCGUACUCAGGGAGGUUGCCAGAUUAUCGUACUCAGGGAGGUUGCCAGAUUAUCGUACUCAGGGAGGUUGCCAGAUUAUCGUACUCAGGGAGGUUGCCAGAUUAUCGUACUCAGGGAGGUUGCCAGAUUAUCGUACUCAGGGAGGUUGCCAGAUUAUCGUACUCAGGGAGGUUGCCAGAUUAUCGUACUCAGGGAGGUUGCCAGAUUAUCGUACUCAGGGAGGUUGCCAGAUUAUCGUACUCAGGGAGGUUGCCAGAUUAUCGUACUCAGGGAGGUUGCCAGAUUAUCGUACUCAGGGAGGUUGCCAGAUUAUCGUACUCAGGGAGGUUGCCAGAUUAUCGUACUCAGGGAGGUUGCCAGAUUAUCGUACUCAGGGAGGUUGCCAGAUUAUCGUACUCAGGGAGGUUGCCAGAUUAUCGUACUCAGGGAGGUUGCCAGAUUAUCGUACUUAGGGAGGUUGCCAUAUUAUCGUACUCAGAGCCGCUUUCGUCAGUUUCUGGCCCAUAACUAUUGCCAAGAAACCCAAUAAUUAACCGUUUAAACGAUAAUCAUAUAUAAAGUUAGUUAUUUGGGUGAUGAAAGCAGUUUUGGGGUCGGAAAUCGGCAAACAUGAGGCAGAGUACGACAAUCUGGCAACGUUGG